UAACAUGUGUGCACGUAUAUAUGUGUAUAUAUGCGUGUACACACACACACACACACACACACACACACAUAAACACACGCACAUA
Molecule: microRNA precursor, 85 nt
Filed under: Procavia capensis (Cape rock hyrax)
Lineage: Eukaryota; Metazoa; Chordata; Mammalia; Hyracoidea; Procaviidae
Description: miRNA (ENSPCAG00000018995.1)
Source: RNAcentral